AAGUCGUAACAAGGUAACCGUAGGUGAACCUGCGGUUGGAUCAUUAAUAAAAUGACAAAAGUAUUUUGUCGUCCUUUUUUGGUUUUUUUUUUCUUUUUUUGUUUUCACUCCAAGUUGACCUUUGACGCUUGGUGUAAAAAAAAGAAAAAUAUCCCAAAACAACUCUGUGCGCACUGUAUCUGUCUCUGCCUGGUGGGGAAUGUGGGACCCCAGUAGUAAUCAUUCUGGGAUCUUGCCAGGCAGGUUUUUGUUGUCGACAAAACCUGUCACCCCUCAGGCACACAAUAAACUUUUGUGUUUUCUUGUGUUAAGUAGGAGAUUUUUGUGGUUACUUGGUAACUCAAAAAAGAAAAAAAAAAAAAAACAUAAAAACAACUUUUGACAACGGAUCUCUUGGCUCUC
This 402-nucleotide unclassified non-coding RNA is filed under the name fungal sp. RNAcentral describes it as "partial internal transcribed spacer region". The stretch from base 1 to 46 matches the Rfam family "Eukaryotic small subunit ribosomal RNA", at positions 1786 to 1831 of the family's 1831-position model. Lineage: Eukaryota; Fungi. The record is from RNAcentral.